Molecule: ribosomal RNA, 492 nt
Filed under: uncultured bacterium
Lineage: Bacteria
Description: partial 16S ribosomal RNA
Rfam family: Bacterial small subunit ribosomal RNA
Source: RNAcentral
AGUGAACGCUGGCGGUAGGCCUAACACAUGCGAGUCGAACGGCAGCACAGUAAGAGCUUGCUCUUACGGGUGGCGAGUGGCGGACGGGUGAGGAAUACAUCGGAAUCUACUUUUUCGUGGGGGAUAACGUAGGGAAACUUACGCUAAUACCGCAUACGACCUACGGGUGAAAGCAGGGGAUCUUCGGAUCUUGCGCGAUUGAAUGAGCCGAUGUCGGAUUAGCUAGUUGGCGGGGUAAAGGCCCACCAAGGCGACGAUCCGUAGCUGGUCUGAGAGGAUGAUCAGCCACACUGGAACUGAGACACGGUCCAGACUCCUACGGGAGGCAGCAGUGGGGAAUAUUGGACAAUGGGCGCAAGCCUGAUCCAGCCAUACCGCGUGGGUGAAGAAGGCCUUCGGGUUGUAAAGCCCUUUUGUUGGGAAAGAAAAGCAGCAGGUUAAUACCCCGCUGUUCUGACGGUACCCAAAGAAUAAGCACCGGCUAACUUCGUG